AGGCUCCAGCCAUCCUAAGGUGCAUUCACAAUGUGCAUCGAGAAAAGUUAUGACCUGCCCUUUUGAAGCAGCUGCUCCUCGAAGGCGGGCACUAUGGACCAAAUGGAAUCAUGAGAGAAACUGAAAGAAUUAGUCGCAGACUCCUGGAAUUGGCACUGGCUAGGGGGAAGAAUAUUUAUACCUCUUUCACUGGCAUCAUCUACCAAGACGACCUCAGAGAGCAGAUAACGUGGGGAACGAUUUAU
Molecule: long non-coding RNA, 245 nt
Organism: Mustela erminea (ermine)
Lineage: Eukaryota; Metazoa; Chordata; Mammalia; Carnivora; Mustelidae
Exons: 3
Source: RefSeq, a predicted model, not a curated record